RNAcentral lists this long non-coding RNA (1845 nucleotides) under Elaeis guineensis (African oil palm). Its description in RNAcentral is "long non-coding RNA (EGUI_LNC037842)". The record is from RNAcentral. Lineage: Eukaryota; Viridiplantae; Streptophyta; Magnoliopsida; Arecales; Arecaceae.
AAAUUUCAUUUAUUUUAGUAAAAGAUUUAAAUCAAUCAGUGAUUUUAAGAAUUUUUUUUAAAAUUUAAUUAAAUUAUUUUAUAUAGAUAAAGAAGGGAUUAUUGUAAAAUUCUUAGAACAAGAUUUGUAUUUCUGAUUCAUUUAAAGUAUUUUCAAAUCCUCACCCACUACACAUCAAAGUUUUACAUGAAAGGAUUUUACAAAAAACUCUUCCUACUCUACCUUAAAUCCUCAACAUCGAACAAACUGUCCUUUCAUGAGAAGAAGAGGGAUAGAAAAACAAAUUUCAUAUGUGAGUUUUUCAAGCCCAUCCAUAAAAUUCAAACCAUUUUAGACAAAACAAUCAUCAAGCAAUAUCUUUUUGAGAAGCAACAACCAUCAUUCAAGCAAAAGAAGUAGUGAUGUGAUUUUCCAUCAAUCAAUUAAAAAAAAAAUUCAUUCAGAUAUCAACAAGUAGCAGUAAACAACUACUGUUAAGAGACAAUGAUUUGAUUUUUCAUCAAUCAUUCAAAAGCAAAAAAUUAAAUUCUAUCAAAAUUUUUUUAGCUUUGGAAGAAAGACUCUGAAAUCACCUAUAAAUAUAGGUAUGAAAUUUUUAUCAUCCUUCAUUUUUUCUCUAUUUUUCUCAAGCAAAUGCCGUCCCGGAAGAAUCAUCGGUAUCAUCGUUACCAAUGGCUUCCUCCUCCAUGAUGCCACCAUCAUCAUUUCAACGCCAUCGUCGAAGCCACCAUCAUCAUUCUUCAGCAUCAAUCCAGAUUAAGUUCAAAAUGACAAGUCUAUAGAAAAUUUAUUAUAUGACAGUUCAUAUUUUAUCUUCAUCAAACAAUAUUUUGACAGAGCAACUUCCAGAGCAUCCUCCAAAAGUAGAACAUCCUCGCCAAAGAAAUCCACUUGAAAACACUGCUAUUCGCUCACACUCCACCAUCUGUUUAUCAACCAAAUUCAUGUGGAUAUCAACAUUCAGUAACUUCAUCACCAACUUCUUCAGUUUCUCUUGAAUUUCAAGCCAUCUAUAGACGCAAAUCAGUAGGAUGCAGAAGAUCGACAUCACCAUAGCAACCAAAUCAAGUCCACAAUCUAGUAUCUAGUACAAGUUCAUCAUACAACGCAAGCUCAAGUCUAAACACCCCAGCACCAAAAGACAGCAUAUCUGGACCGACACCAAUGAUUUACCACCAUCAAGCAACAUCCGCAAAUAAUUAUUCAAAAAAAAAAAAGAAAUCAAGUAUGAAAAUAAACUUAGUUACUUUUCUUAAAAGUCACUUCAUUCUCAAGUAAGUUAUUUCAUUAGCAAGUUACUUCACCAAUAAGCCACUUCAUCAGUAAGUUACUUCAUUAACAAGUUAUUUCACCAACAAGUCACUUCACCAGUAAGUUACUUCAUCAGCAAGCCCCUUCACUGAUAAAGUUAUUUCACCAGCAAGUUACUUUAUUCUCAAGACACUUUACCAAUAAGUUACUUCACCGACAAGAUACUUGAUCCUCAAGCAAAAAGUCUGCCAAAUCUUCUAUAAAAAAAUCUCAAGUACCAGCAUUGAGGAAUAAGUCCUGACAGCCUGAGAGUUUCUAUUAGGAAGUUCUGGCAUUGAGUAGUCCGAAUAUCCUUUAUUCGGCUGCAGUUACAAACCAAUGAGGGAGUGUUCUACCAAUAUCCUCUUCUGUCUUGUAUUUUUGUAUUCAAAAUAGAUUAGGAUUCAAAGCUUUAUUUCAAGUUUGAAGUUUGUAUCCAAUAGGCCAUAGUCGGAGAGAAGCAAGCUUCUUGAAGCUAUCUUCAUUCUGUAUAUCCAUUUUAUUUUUGCUUAUUUCAUAUCGUGUAAGCUUUCAUCAUGUACACUCUCAUGAUUC